CAUAUUGGUAAUCAGUAAGGAUUGCUGCUCUCUCCAAGGCCUGGAAGAAAUUUUCUCAUAAUUUACCAAGCUGAAUGCAUAUGAGAGUCUGCUGACUUCUCUUCAAAUGUGUGCUGCUCAUCACUUUAGGAUGCAUUAAAAGAAUGCUCAAGUGAGACUUCAGCAGAGUUCAAAAUUGUGCAGUGGUGCUGAUGUGGAUUCCUGAGGCUCUGGAACAGGACAAACAAUCACACAGGAGUCUGGCAUACACAUGACCGGGACCGGUUAUUGGGACAGGACGAGAUAGGAAAUUGUUCAAUUUAACUCAACUUUCUUCUCAUUAGAAACUCUGGCAAUGCUAUUUUCCUUUGUAAAGCACAAUUUGUCAUUUCUGUCCAAAUAAUUAGUUGCAGCAGUAUGUAAAUACUCUUGUGAUACCGCUUGCAACUUCAUCAUUCUAAUAAGUGUAUGUAUAAACCAGCACACAUGCAUGGAAAUAAACAUGUAGAGUAACUGGAAGAGCAAAAAAGCAUCCAACGUAAGUUGCUAACAGAGCUCUGUAGGCCAUGGCAUGUAUUUCAUGCUUGGUGAAAAUCCCGUGUUACUUAAACCAUCUUGGUAACCAGAAUAAAAUUAUGAA
Molecule: long non-coding RNA, 619 nt
Organism: Hirundo rustica (Barn swallow)
Lineage: Eukaryota; Metazoa; Chordata; Aves; Passeriformes; Hirundinidae
Exons: 4
Source: RefSeq, a predicted model, not a curated record